RNAcentral lists this ribosomal RNA (377 nucleotides) under uncultured bacterium. RNAcentral's name for it is "bacterial SSU rRNA". It matches the Rfam family "Bacterial small subunit ribosomal RNA", at positions 521 to 896 of the family's 1533-position model. The record is from RNAcentral.
UAAUACGAAGGGUGCAAGCGUUACUCGGAAUUACUGGGCGUAAAGGGUGCGUAGGUGGUUUUUUAAGUCCGUUGUGAAAUCCCUGGGCUCAACCUGGGAAUGGCAGUGGAUACUGGAAAGCUAGAGUGCGGUAGAGGGUAGUGGAAUUCCCGGUGUAGCAGUGAAAUGCGUAGAGAUCGGGAGGAACACCAGUGGCGAAGGCGGCUACCUGGACCAGCACUGACACUGAGGCACGAAAGCGUGGGGAGCAAACAGGAUUAGAUACCCUGGUAGUCCACGCCCUAAACGAUGCGAACUGGAGGUUGGGUGCAACUUGGCACUCAGUCUCGAAGCUAACGCGUUAAGUUCGCCGCCUGGGGAGUACGGUCGCAAGACUG